Non-coding RNA from Zootermopsis nevadensis, 182 nucleotides. The record is from RefSeq and is a predicted model, not a curated record. NCBI's taxonomy places the organism in Eukaryota, Metazoa, Arthropoda, Insecta, Blattodea, Termopsidae.
AAAGUUGGGUCGCCGCCAUGUUCAUCUGAAGGCCCACAGAGUGUUGCAUGAUUACAAAACUGAAUUUGUUCUGCAUAAAACAUAUCGACGGGCCGCACUUUGGGAAUCCCUCUUUUAAACUUGGACAUCUGACACCAAAAUACAUUCGCGCUUCGUACUUCUCGCUGUGAGAAUCCGAAAUC